RNAcentral lists this ribosomal RNA (712 nucleotides) under uncultured bacterium. Its description in RNAcentral is "bacterial SSU rRNA". It matches the Rfam family "Bacterial small subunit ribosomal RNA", at positions 633 to 1343 of the family's 1533-position model. The record is from RNAcentral.
CUGUAAUUCUAGAAUCCCUGGAGGAGGUUGGAAAAUUUCCGAGGUGUAGAGUGAAAUUCGCAGAUAUUCGGAGGAAUACCAGGGGCGUAGGCGCCUAAACUGGACAGGUAUUGACGCUCAGAUACGAAAGCGUGGGAGCAAACAGGAUUAGAUACCCUGGUAGUCCACGCCGUAAACGAUGUUUGCUAGUUGUCGGGGCCAAAGGUCUCGGUGACGGAGAGAAAUCAUUAAGCAAACCGCCUGGGGAGUACGGCCGCAAGGUUAAAACUCAAAGGAAUUGACGGGGACCCGCACAAGCGGUGGAGCAUGUUGUUUAAUUCGAAGCAACGCGAAGAACCUUACCCACUCUUGACAUACCUCUUGGGACUUUCAGAGAUGAUUGUCUUCGGUUCGGCCGGGGAGGAUACAGGUGCUGCAUGGCUGUCGUCAGCUCGUGUCGUGAGAUGUUCGGUUAAGUCCGGUAACGAGCGCAACCCUUAUCGUAUGUUGCCAUCAUUCAGUUGGGCACUCAUGCGAGACUGCCGGUGAUAAGCCGGAGGAAGGCGGGGACGACGUCAAGUCAUCAUGGCCCUUACGAGUGGGGCUACAAACGUGCUACAAUGGCAGUGACAAUGGGCAGCUACCUCGCGAGAGGAUGCUAAUCUCCAAAAACUGUCUCAGUUCGGAUUGUUCUCUGCAACUCGAGAGCAUGAAGUUGGAAUCGCUAGUAAUC